UGCCAAGUUAACAAGGUUGAGGGCCCCU
RNAcentral lists this non-coding RNA (28 nucleotides) under Rattus norvegicus (Norway rat). The record is from RNAcentral. Lineage: Eukaryota; Metazoa; Chordata; Mammalia; Rodentia; Muridae.